Non-coding RNA from Rattus norvegicus (Norway rat), 607 nucleotides. Lineage: Eukaryota; Metazoa; Chordata; Mammalia; Rodentia; Muridae. The record is from RefSeq and is a predicted model, not a curated record.
GGAGUAGAAGGGGGGGGUGGGGAGGACCAGGGAGUUGGGUUAGAGGACCAGAGUCUAUCAGAAGGGUCUGGGAAGACUGGAGUCUGGAAUCCAGCAGCUGAGAGCAUGCACAAUGCACUGACGUAUUGGUGUUGGCAAGAACAAAACAAAGGUUCAACCUCUUGUCUGAAGAACCGGCUGCACGUUAUCACAGGACUGUAACUCGGGCUUAAAGAGCUAGUAGGAAACUCUGACCAGAGGGAAUUUGCAUUAUGGCACUGUGGAAAGAGACCCACCCACCACACAGCCUUUAUACCGACCCUGCAGAUGAAAUACAUCAGUGGAAUAAAAGUCUAUCCCGCCAGCAAAGCCCUGACCAAGAAGGGUGAGAAUGAACACCGUAAAAAAACUAGAAAUUGGCCUUCCUGGCUCCUGACACACUGUGUGCACUGUGGUUGUCCCACAAGCUGCUCUCUGAGGAAGGGAAAGUGGCAUCCAACUGCCACUGGUCCUGAACACUCUUCAGCUGCUCCUGUAAGGCAGCCCCUCCCCUUCCUACCCCCAGCCCCUCACCCACAUCUCCCUUUGUGCAGGACAAAUACACCAGAUGUGUCACGUGUAGGGAAAA